UUUACAAUUUCUAUUCGAAUUUUAAAGAAUUAACUGUACAAAUUUGAAUUUUAAACAAGCUCACUGACCAGCAAUUUCGGACUAAAGUUUUUCAAUAGAAAGGAGGAUACAUAGUGCUGCAGACAUUUUGGCCUAGUCAUUGAGUUUUCACUUCUGUCGGCACUCCCGGAGUGCAAUCCGUUGUUUUUUUGUAGCUAUAAUAGCAACGACUUUUAGCAAUAUAGUAUGCCAUAUUUACUUCAAAGUUCAUUGUCUUCGAGAUAUUCGACAUCAAGUUGAACAAUUUUAGGCCAACAACCUGGUUUUCAGGCCAUAGCUUUUGUGUUAAUUAUUUUAAAAUUUACAUCUCUGACCAGUUUUUAGAGACGUCAAAGACAAACCCAAAUAUGCAGAUUUCGUACAUGUAAGAUCCUUCACAGCAAUCCAGCUACGAAAAAAGUGUUAUUUUUAGACAAUGUUUAAAAAAAUCAUAAAAAAAUAAGUAUUCAUUAGUUUCAAAAUCCGGUAGACAAGAAUGGAGAUUAAAGAUUGAAGAAUCGGUAGCCAUUUGUCUUAUAAUUCUAUCUGAAGUGUAAAUGUAGAAGUAACGGCUCAAACCUUGUCAAAUAUCGAUGAAAACCGCGGGGAGCCCCUUAAGUGACAGAUCCAGGCGGUUUUGUAUUUGGUUGGUUAAC
Molecule: long non-coding RNA, 674 nt
Organism: Cydia fagiglandana
Lineage: Eukaryota; Metazoa; Arthropoda; Insecta; Lepidoptera; Tortricidae
Exons: 2
Source: RefSeq, a predicted model, not a curated record